GACCAAACCAAAAUUCAUGUUAGGUAAGACGGCACUUACAAACGUUGAAUCUUCUCAAUUGUUCAGCCCUAACAAACCCAAGCAAAAAUUUAAUAUUUCAUCCCUUAAACAAUUUAGACCACUGCCACCAGCUGUCAAAAUUGCCGAUCAUGUCUAGUAAUCAAUUCCAGCUGUCUCUAUUCUGCUUAUGCUGAAUGCUCUCGUCUGUAGUCUCCGCACACAACUCUUAACACUGUGUUCUAAAUGAUGCUGAAACUUUAGAUAAAAGAACACGCAACGCCAAAAACUAAUUGUGGAACACAGCCGCCAUAUGAUGAAGAAGAAGAUGAUGAUCCCAGUUGUGAAUUUCAACCCCUUUUGCUGGCCGCGACAGAGGGAGAGAUGAGACGAGUGAUGCUGAUGACUUAUGAAACGAACACAGCCGCACCGUGAAGGUGA
Molecule: long non-coding RNA, 438 nt
Filed under: Citrus sinensis (sweet orange)
Lineage: Eukaryota; Viridiplantae; Streptophyta; Magnoliopsida; Sapindales; Rutaceae
Description: long non-coding RNA (CSIN_LNC003972)
Source: RNAcentral